RNAcentral lists this ribosomal RNA (256 nucleotides) under uncultured bacterium. RNAcentral describes it as "partial 16S ribosomal RNA". It matches the Rfam family "Bacterial small subunit ribosomal RNA", at positions 524 to 776 of the family's 1533-position model. The record is from RNAcentral.
CACGUAGGGUGCGAGCGUUGUCCGGAAUUAUUGGGCGUAAAGAGCUCGUAGGCGGUGUGUCGCGUCGGCCGUGAAAACCUGCAGCUUAACUGUGGGCUUGCGGUCGAUACGGGCAUCACUGGAGUUCGGCAGGGGAGACUGGAAUUCCUGGUGUAGCGGUGGAAUGCGCAGAUAUCAGGAGGAACACCGGUGGCGAAGGCGGGUCUCUGGGCCGUUACUGACGCUGGAGGAGCGAAAGCGUGGGGGAGCAAACAGG